AUGGAGCAUGACUUGGUAAAAGCUAGAAAUCUGAAGCUGCUGCUUUGUUUGUUUGAGCAGCUAAGUGGGCUCAAAAUUAACUUCCACAAAAGUGAGUUGUUCUGCUUUGGGAGAGCCAAAGAGGAACAAGAGGAUUACAAGCAGUUGUUCGGAUGUGGUUUGGGUGAGCUGCCUUUUACCUACUUAGGAAUUCCUAUUCAUCACCGCAAGCUCACGAAUAAUGAAUGGAAGUGUAUUGAGGAUCGUUUCGAGAAGAAGCUAAGUUGUUGGAAGGGCAAGCUCAUGUCGUAUGGAGGCCGGUUAAUUCUUAUUAAUUUGGUGCUCACGAGCAUGCCCAUGUUCCUUUUGUCCUUCUUUGAUGUCCCAGUUGGAGUUAGGAAACGACUGGACUUCUAUCGAUCGAGGUUCUUUUGGCAGGGGGGUGAGCCUAAGAGAAAAUAUCGGUUAGCGAAGUGGGAUAUCAUUUGUAGACCGAAAGACCAAGGGGGUAUGGGGAUUGAGAAUCUCGAAGUCAAGAACCGGUGCCUUCUUAGUAAGUGGUUGUGGAAGUUAUCCUCAGGAACUGACGCCAUGUGGGCUCAAAUCCUGCGUAACAAGUAUCUCCAAACCAAAACUUUGGCUCAGGUGUCGGUUAGACCAACUGAUUCACCCUUUUGGAAAGGGCUUAUGAAAGUGAAGCUUUCAUUUUUUCAGAGGUCAAAGCAUUUAGUUGGUAAUGGUGCAAGCACGAGAUUCUGGGAGGAUACUUGGCUUGGAGAGGCUCCCCUAGCAAUCCAGUAUCCGUCUCUGUAUCGUAUAGUUCGAAGGCGCGAUGCUUUGGUUGCAUCGGUCUUCGCCUCGAUACCCCUGGAUAUCCAGUUUAGAAGAUCGUUAGUGGUCAAUCGUUGGGAAGAGUGGCUGCAUCUAGUUAGGAGACUGAUGCAGGUACAACUAUCUCAACAACCUGAUAAAUUACGCUGGAAUCUCACUAGGUCGGGGGGAUUCACGGUUAAAUCAAUGUAUGUUGAUGUUAUUAAUUCCAGCUCGAUUCCUACUUCAAAGCAUGUGUGGGACGUCAGAGUUCCUUUAAAGAUCAAGGUGUUUAUGUGGUUUCUACAUAAACAGGUGAUCUUAACAAAGGAUAAUCUUAUUAAGCGUAAUUGGACAGGACCUACUAGGUGUAUUUUCUGUGAUCAGGGUGAAACCAUUAAACAUCUUUUCUUUGACUGCCCACUAGCUAGAAUUCUUUGGACGACUAUUCAAGUCGCUUUCAAUAUUACCCCACCAAGGUCGGUUAACAUGUUGUUUGGGACAUGGCUAACUAGGGUAGAGCCCGGGUUAGCAAAACAUAUUCGCUUGGGGGUUUGCGCUUUUUUGUGGGCGCUUUGGAAUUGCAGAAAUGACUUCGUCUUUAACAGAUCAACAAAUAUUCAUGUUUUGCAGGUUAUCUUCCGAGCAACGGCUCUUAUCCGUUCCUGGUCGCUACUCACUCCGACGGAGGCCAGGGAGCUUUUGGUUACUGCUGCUAUCCGAUGGGAGAUGGUAGCUCGGGAUAUAUUCAGCCGGUUUGGAUGGCGGUCGUGUAACAGGAUAGGCAAUUAG
This 1581-nucleotide ribosomal RNA is filed under the name Triticum aestivum (bread wheat). Its description in RNAcentral is "partial small subunit ribosomal RNA". Lineage: Eukaryota; Viridiplantae; Streptophyta; Magnoliopsida; Poales; Poaceae. The record is from RNAcentral.